UUGAGACUGAGUCACCAGCCAUACCCUCCACCAUCUCUGAGCACUGGCUCACUCUUGCAGAGGGCCCGGAUGGAGAGGAAAAACGACUGGCUACACAUGCCCUUAUCCUUGGGGCCCAAAGUUGGUACCAAAUGGAUUUACACACCUGGCCCAAAGUCCACGCCUAAACACCUCCCUCAGGUCUCAUAACCACCUUGGCAAGUUGGAAUGGUACAAGGGGAAUUCAAGGACCCACUCUCAGGCCAGGUGCAGCCUGAAGCACAGUGAACAAAAGUUUCCUUCCACACAUGAAGAAGAGGAAAUGUAAAUGGAUGUCCAAUCAUUUGCAGUAGCAGAAGCAGGUGAAAGGUCCCUAGGAGAUUUGCAAGGUGGGCAAUAGUAGGUAAAUCCUCUUGUCCUAGAUCUUGUGGCAAAAUAUCUUGACUGGUUCCUAUGGCUAGUCUGGAUCAAUGUAUGGAAGAAUAGUAUCUGGAAAAUAAUGAAAAUGGGAUGUUUACAUCAGUAAGAGUCCAAGGAGGAGACUUAGGAUUCGUGGAGAACAGAUGAAGUGUUUUUACUGGGAAAGCAGGCCUAAAAUCAGGCCAAGAGGACCUGUUGGGCCUCGGCCUUUCUGAAAGAGGGGAGAAGAGCGUAGCUGCCUUAGGAGGAGACCAGGGAGAAGGCCUUUUGAUGGCUCUAUUGUUCCAAGCGCUUGCCCUACAAACACCACAUCCCUCCCUGUCUCUUCCGCAAGGGCAGAGCGGGAAACUGGGUCGGUCGGUUGGGCCGAGCUCGAAGUAGCUACAGCGCUGGCACCAACCUCUCGGCCCCUUCUGCGGCCCCUUGGGGCGGCAACGGCGCGCCAUUCCCGUCGCAGGCCCGAAACACACAAAGGAAGCCCCCACCCGUCCUCAGAUGUGGGGACACUCUGGGGAGGAGGCUGGCGUGGACCCCGAGUCUGAGCACCUCCCUCCCCCGCGGGGAACAAUAGCCGCCGCCUCCCCGGGGCGGCCGGGCGAUCGCGCGGCACAAAGGCCGGCUCCGGGCCGCGCCACCAUGUGACGCGCGCGCUCGUUCCGCGCUCUCCGGCCUGCAGCCGGGCGCAGUCAGCAGAGAGCCGGAGCGGCCAGGCUGCCUCAAUCCACCUGGCACACUUUCCGAAAGACAAACGCGGUUCCUCCUACUUCAGAGCAAGUCUGGGCCAGCUGGGAGCCGACCAGAAACCGCAAGCAGAGGAGACACAGGCACCCGGGGUGAGCGCUCACGGAGGGCGCGACCCGCUGCCCCACGCUCUGCGGCGCGAGGCCGGACACCCCCGCACUCCCUGUCCUCCCGGCCGCGGCCCCGCCUCCGGACCCCUUGCAGCCCACGGUUCUCCCAAGGGGCGGCCCCCGCGCCCGCCCCAGACGCACGGAGACUGUAUACUCUGCCCCCCCUCCUGCUCCCCGCCCCCCGUCACACCCUUAGCGCAGCUGUACCCCUGGAAAGGGAAGAGGAAAAUCCCAGGUUUUGCAGACACUAUGUAAGAGUCUUAAAAAAAAAAAAAAAAAAAAAAAAAAAAUUCCCAGGGGACUAGAAUUCAGGGACGGGGCGGAGCUAGUUUAGUUCUCUUAUUUACCUGCAGGAGUCAUUUAUUUGGAAGGAAGCAAGGGUAUCCCUGUUAAACUUGGAACUAAACCUGAAUGCCAUAUAAAAAGAACAAUAAAAAUACACGUAAAACGCCAACCAUAAUGAUACGCCUCUCCUCUCUUUUCAAGUGUGAAGGAAGGACUGGAGUAUUUUUACUUCAGCUCUUUUGGGGUUCAUUUUAGAAAUACCAGAAAGGGAUGGACUGAAAACUGUAAGCGUUGCUGGAGGGAGAGAGAAGGAGGUCAUUAGCAUUAGAGCUGUUUGCAGCAAGAGGUCAUGGGUAAAGUGGGUGGUGAAGCGUUCUUAUGGUGGUGCUCGUAGUCCUCGGUAAGUUCUAAGAAAGUUUCAGGCUACCCCCUCUUUUGCCCUCUUUUUGAGUGACAUCAGCUGAGAAAUUUCUGACGUUAGUUAAAAGUUGUUGCCUCAGCCUAUAGGAAAGAGCCCCUGAAAGACAAAAUCCCAGCUCCUCCCUCCCUGUCUUCUCUCUCAGCAUCCUCUCAGGUGGAAAUUAACUUGCUUUGGAGAGAUGUUCUACUAUCAUUUUACUUUAGAUAGAUAUAAGCUGUAGCAUUAAGUCUUGCACAGUGUCCUGAAUUCUUUAAGCAAUUACAAUACUGGUCCUCUUGUC
Neofelis nebulosa (Clouded leopard) is the source of this 2236-nucleotide long non-coding RNA. RefSeq lists it as uncharacterized. The transcript has 3 exons. The record is from RefSeq and is a predicted model, not a curated record. NCBI's taxonomy places the organism in Eukaryota, Metazoa, Chordata, Mammalia, Carnivora, Felidae.